GAUGAACGCUGGCGGCGUGCCUAAUACAUGCAAGUCGAGCGAACAGACGAGGAGCUUGCUCCUCUGACGUUAGCGGCGGACGGGUGAGUAACACGUGGAUAACCUACCUAUAAGACUGGGAUAACUUCGGGAAACCGGAGCUAAUACCGGAUAACAUGUUGAACCGCAUGGUUCAACAGUGAAAGACGGUCUUGCUGUCACUUAUAGAUGGAUCCGCGCCGCAUUAGCUAGUUGGUAAGGUAACGGCUUACCAAGGCAACGAUGCGUAGCCGACCUGAGAGGGUGAUCGGCCACUGGAACUGAGACACGGUCCAGACUCCUACGGGAGGCAGCAGUAGGGAAUCUUCCGCAAUGGGCGAAAGCCUGACGGAGCAACGCCGCGUGAGUGAAGAAGGUCUUCGGAUCGUAAAACUCUGUUAUUAGGGAAGAACAAAUGUGUAAGUAACUAUGCACGUCUUGACGGUACCUAAUCAGAAAGCCACGGCUAACUACGUG
RNAcentral lists this ribosomal RNA (495 nucleotides) under uncultured bacterium. Its description in RNAcentral is "partial 16S ribosomal RNA". It matches the Rfam family "Bacterial small subunit ribosomal RNA", at positions 28 to 507 of the family's 1533-position model. The record is from RNAcentral.